CUACGGGUGGCUGCAGUGGGGAAUAUUGCACAAUGGAGGAAACUCUGAUGCAGCAACGCCGCGUGGAGGAUGACACUUUUCGGAGCGUAAACUCCUUUUAUAUAGGAAGAAGAUGACGGUACUAUAUGAAUAAGCGCCGGCUAACUCCGUGCCAGCAGCCGCGGUAAUACGGAGGGCGCAAGCGUUAUUCGGAAUCACUGGGCGUAAAGAGCGUGUAGGCGGAUUAAAAAGUCAGAAGUGAAAUCCUAUAGCUUAACUAUAGAACUGCUUCUGAAACUCUUAAUCUAGAAUAUGGGAGAGGUAGAUGGAAUUUCUGGUGUAGGGGUAACAUCCGUAGAGAUCAGAAGGAGUACCGAUUGCGAAGGCGAUCUACUAGAACAUUAUUGACGCUGAGACGCGAAAGCGUGGGGAGCAAACAGGAUUAGAUACCCGUGUAGUC
RNAcentral lists this ribosomal RNA (439 nucleotides) under uncultured bacterium. RNAcentral's name for it is "partial 16S ribosomal RNA". It matches the Rfam family "Bacterial small subunit ribosomal RNA", at positions 339 to 795 of the family's 1533-position model. The record is from RNAcentral.